Molecule: ribosomal RNA, 159 nt
Filed under: Porodaedalea laricis
Lineage: Eukaryota; Fungi; Basidiomycota; Agaricomycetes; Hymenochaetales; Hymenochaetaceae
Description: 5.8S ribosomal RNA
Rfam family: 5.8S ribosomal RNA
About the family: 5.8S ribosomal RNA (5.8S rRNA) is a component of the large subunit of the eukaryotic ribosome. It is transcribed by RNA polymerase I as part of the 45S precursor that also contains 18S and 28S rRNA. Functionally, it is thought that 5.8S rRNA may be involved in ribosome translocation.
Source: RNAcentral
UAUACAACUUUCAACAACGGAUCUCUUGGCUCUCGCAUCGAUGAAGAACGCAGCGAAAUGCGAUAAGUAAUGUGAAUUGCAGAAUUCAGUGAAUCAUCGAAUCUUUGAACGCACCUUGCGCCCCUUGGUAUUCCGAGGGGCAUGCCUGUUUGAGUGUCA